UACAGAGGGUGCAAGCGUUAUUCGGAAUCAUUGGGCGUAAAGAGCACGUAGGCGGUUUUGUAAGUUUGGUGUGAAAUCCCUGGACUCAAUCCAGGAAGUGCAUCGAAUACUGCAAAACUAGAGUACAGGAGAGGAAAGUGGAAUUCCCGGUGUAGAGGUGAAAUUCGUAGAUAUCGGGAGGAACAACAGAAGCGAAGGCGACUUUCUGGACUGUCACUGACGCUGAGGUGCGAAAGCGUGGGGAGCAAACAGG
RNAcentral lists this ribosomal RNA (253 nucleotides) under uncultured bacterium. Its description in RNAcentral is "partial 16S ribosomal RNA". It matches the Rfam family "Bacterial small subunit ribosomal RNA", at positions 524 to 776 of the family's 1533-position model. The record is from RNAcentral.